This 470-nucleotide ribosomal RNA is filed under the name uncultured bacterium. RNAcentral describes it as "partial 16S ribosomal RNA". It matches the Rfam family "Bacterial small subunit ribosomal RNA", at positions 28 to 508 of the family's 1533-position model. The record is from RNAcentral.
GACGAACGCUGGCGGCGUGCUUAACACAUGCAAGUCGAACGGAAAGGCCCUGCUUGCAGGGUGCUCGAGUGGCGAACGGGUGAGUAACACGUGGGUGAUCUGCCCCUUACUUUGGGAUAAGCCUGGGAAACUGGGUCUAAUACUGGAUAGGACCAUGCUGUAGGUGGUGUGGUGGAAAGAUUAGUUUCGGUAAGGGAUGAGCUCGCGGCCUAUCAGCUUGUUGGUGGGGUAAUGGCCUACCAAGGCGUCGACGGGUAGCCGGCCUGAGAGGGUGGACGGCCACAUUGGGACUGAGUUACGGCCCAGACUCCUACGGGAGGCAGCAGUGGGGAAGAUUGCACAAUGGGCGCAAGCCUGAUGCAGCGACGCCGCGUGGGGGAUGACGGCCUUCGGGUUGUAAACUCCUUUCAGCCAUGACGAAGCCCUUGUGGUGACGGUAGUGGUAGAAGAAGCACCGGCUAACUACGUGC